This 27-nucleotide small RNA is filed under the name Bombyx mori (domestic silkworm). RNAcentral describes it as "ovarian small RNA-32249". The record is from RNAcentral. Lineage: Eukaryota; Metazoa; Arthropoda; Insecta; Lepidoptera; Bombycidae.
UGAGUACAUUAGCUGUGGACCUCGGGA